GCAGUCGAGCGGCACUUAGAGUAGCUUGCUACUUUGCUGACUAGCGGCGGACGGGUGAGUAUUGCUUGGGAACAUGCCUUGGGGUGGGGGACAACAGUUGGAUCGACUGCUAAUACCGCAUAAUGUCUACUGACCGAAUGGGGCUUCUGCUCUCGCCUUUAUAUUGGCCCAAGGGGGAUUAGCUACUUGGAGAGGUAAUGGCUCACCAAGGCUACGAUCCCUAACUGGUUUGAAAGGAUGAUCAGCCACACUGGAACUGACACUCGGGCCAGACUCCUACGGGGAGGCAGCAGUGGGGAAUAUUGCACAAUGGGCGAAAGCCUGAUGCAGCCAUGCCGCGUGUGUGAAGAAGGCCUUCGGGUUGUAAAGCACUUUCAGUCAGGAGGAAAGGGUGUGAGUUACUACCUCAUAUCUGUGACGUUACUGACAGAAGAAGCACCGGCUAACUCCGUGCCAGCAGCCGCGGUAAUACGGAGGGUGCGAGCGUUAAUCGGAAUUACUGGGCGUAAAGCGUACACAGGCGGUUUGUUAAGCGAGAUGUGAAAGCCCCCGGGCUCAACCUGGGAACUGCCUUUCGUACUGGCAAAAUAGAGUGUGAUAGAGGGUGGUAGAAUUUCAGGUGUAGCGGUGAAAUGCGUAGAGAUCUGAAGGAAUACCGAUGGCGAAGGCAGCCACCUGAGUCAACRCUGACGCUCAUGUACGAAANCGUGGGGAGCAAACGGGAUUAGAUACCCCGGUAGUCCACGCCGUAAACGAUGUCUACUAGAAGCUCGGAACCUCGGUUCUGUUUUUCAAAGCUAACGCAUUAAGUAGACCGCCUGGGGAGUACGGCCGCAAGGUUAAAACUCAAAUGAAUUGACGGGGGCCCGCACAAGCGGUGGAGCAUGUGGUUUUAAUUCGAUGCAACGCGAAGAACCUUACCUACACUUGACAUACAGCAGAACUUACCAGAGAUAGCUUUGGUGCCUUCGAGGAACUUUGAUACAGGUGCUGCAUGGCUGUCGUCCGCUUGUGUCGUGAGAUGUUUGGUUAAGUCCCGCAACGAGCGCAACCCCUAUCCUUAGUUGGUAACAGGUAAUGCUGAGAACUCUAAGGAGACUACCGGUGCUAAACCGGAGGAAGGUGGGGAAGACGUCAAGUCAUCAUGGCCCUUACGUGUAGGGCUACACACCUGCUACAAUUGCGCAUACAGAGUGCUGCGAACCCGGGAACGUAAGGGAAUCACCAAAAAUGCGUCGUAGUCCGGAUUGGAGUCUGCAACUCGACUCCAUGAAGUCGGAAUCGCUAGUAA
RNAcentral lists this ribosomal RNA (1291 nucleotides) under bacterium RFB D04. RNAcentral describes it as "bacterial SSU rRNA". It matches the Rfam family "Bacterial small subunit ribosomal RNA", at positions 57 to 1341 of the family's 1533-position model. The record is from RNAcentral.